GCGAAUAGCGCGGUCCUCCUCGAGGAAAGUCCGGGCUCCACGGACAGGUUGCCAGGUAACGCCUGGGCGCGCGUCACUGCGCGACGGAUAGUGCCACAGAGAACACACCGCCGAUGGCCUGCGGGCUUCCCGUGGGAUCAGGUAAGGGUGAAAAGGUGCGGGUAAGAGCCCACCGCGCAUCUGGCAACAGGUGCGGCAGGGUAAACCCCAGCCGGAGCAAGGCCAAAUAGGCAGCGAGAGGCCGUCCACCUCGACCAAGACGCUGCGGGUAGGCUGCUAGAGGGCGUGGGCGACUACGCUCGGAGAGGAAUGACCGUCCGGGCACCAACACAUAUCACAUAUCGGCGCCCGACAGAACCCGGCUUAUAGGUCGGUGGCGUUA
This 382-nucleotide RNase P RNA is filed under the name Gemmatimonadota bacterium. Its description in RNAcentral is "partial RNase P RNA component class A". It matches the Rfam family "Bacterial RNase P class A". From Rfam's summary of the family: Ribonuclease P (RNase P) is a ubiquitous endoribonuclease, found in archaea, bacteria and eukarya as well as chloroplasts and mitochondria. Its best characterised activity is the generation of mature 5'-ends of tRNAs by cleaving the 5'-leader elements of precursor-tRNAs. Cellular RNase Ps are ribonucleoproteins. The record is from RNAcentral. Lineage: Bacteria; Pseudomonadati; Gemmatimonadota.